GAUGAACGCUGGCGGCGUGCCUAAUACAUGCAAGUCGAGCGAACAGACGAGGAGCUUGCUCCUCUGACGUUAGCGGCGGACGGGUGAGUAACACGUGGAUAACCUACCUAUAAGACUGGGAUAACUUCGGGAAACCGGAGCUAAUACCGGAUAAUAUAUUGAACCGCAUGGUUCAAUAGUGAAAGACGGUUUUGCUGUCACUUAUAGAUGGAUCCGCGCCGCAUUAGCUAGUUGGUAAGGUAACGGCUUACCAAGGCGACGAUGCGUAGCCGACCUGAGAGGGUGAUCGGCCACACUGGAACUAAGACACGUUCCAGACUCCUACGGGAGGCAACAGUAGGGAAUCUUCCGCAAUGGGCGAAAGCCUGACGGAGCAACGCCGCGUGAGUGAUGAAGGUCUUCGGAUCGUAAAACUCUGUUAUUAGGGAAGAACAAAUGUGUAAGUAACUAUGCACGUCUUGACGGUACCUAAUCAGAAAGCCGCGGCUAACUACGUG
Molecule: ribosomal RNA, 497 nt
Filed under: uncultured bacterium
Lineage: Bacteria
Description: partial 16S ribosomal RNA
Rfam family: Bacterial small subunit ribosomal RNA
Source: RNAcentral